This 207-nucleotide ribosomal RNA is filed under the name uncultured bacterium. Its description in RNAcentral is "partial 16S ribosomal RNA". It matches the Rfam family "Bacterial small subunit ribosomal RNA", at positions 568 to 774 of the family's 1533-position model. The record is from RNAcentral.
CGCGCAGGCGGGUCAAUAAGUCAGAGGUGAAAUCCUACAGCUUAACUAUAGAACUGCCUUUGAUACUGUUGAUCUUGAGUAUGGAAGAGAGAGACGGAAUUCCAGGUGUAGUGGUGAAAUACGUAGAUAUCUGGAAGAACACCAGUUGCGAAGGCGGUCUCUUGGUCCAAUACUGACGCUGAGGCGCGAAAGCGUGGGUAGCAAACA